RNAcentral lists this long non-coding RNA (259 nucleotides) under Solanum tuberosum (potato). Its description in RNAcentral is "long non-coding RNA (STUB_LNC007125)". The record is from RNAcentral. Lineage: Eukaryota; Viridiplantae; Streptophyta; Magnoliopsida; Solanales; Solanaceae.
UGACAAUUGCUCAGUCUAUUUGAUCGAAUUGAUAGAUACGAAACCCUCCUCAUUCUUUGGAUUUUAUCAAUCAGAUGAAAAAAAAGACUUAUCUUUUUUCCUAAGAUGAUCAAAAGUUAUUUUUAACUAUCAAAUUUUCUUGGAAUAAUGAUGUCGAGAGGGGAACUUUCGAAAUUGAUUCAAAAUUUCGAAAGAGAAAUAGUUUAAAUCAUUCCUUAGAAGCUGAAUCUUUCUCUCCUAUUAAGUCACGUGAAGAUGC